CCUACGGGAGGCUGCAGUGGGGAAUAUUGGGCAAUGGGCGAAAGCCUGACCCAGCAACGCCGCGUGAAUGAAGCAGGCUUUCGGAUUGUAAACUUCUUUUAUCAGGGACGAAGCAAGUGACGGUACCUGAGGAAUAAGCCUCGGCUAACUACGUGCAAGCAGCCGCGGUAAUACGUAGGGGGCAAGCGUUAUCCGGAUUUACUGGGUGUAAAGAGCGUGUAGGCGGGUGGGCAAGUCAGUUGGGAAACCUAUGGGCUCAACCCAUAGCCUGCAUUUAAAACUGUACUUCUUGAGUGCUGGAGAGGCAAUCGGAAUUCCGUGUGUAGCGGUGAAAUGCGUAGAUAUACGGAGGAACACCAGUGGCGAAGGCGGAUUGCUGGACAGUAACUGACGCUGAGGCGCGAAAGCGUGGGGAGCAAACAGGAUUAGAUACCCGUGUAGUC
RNAcentral lists this ribosomal RNA (443 nucleotides) under uncultured bacterium. Its description in RNAcentral is "partial 16S ribosomal RNA". It matches the Rfam family "Bacterial small subunit ribosomal RNA", at positions 338 to 795 of the family's 1533-position model. The record is from RNAcentral.